UCGUGGGGUGACCUGUCUGCCUGAUCGCGAUAACGAACGAGACCUUAUCCUGCUAAAUAGCCCGUAUUGCUUUGGCAGUACGCCGGCUUCUUAGAGGGACUAUCGGUGUAAGCCGAUGGAAGUUUGAGGCAAUAACA
This 137-nucleotide ribosomal RNA is filed under the name uncultured eukaryote. RNAcentral describes it as "partial 18S ribosomal RNA". It matches the Rfam family "Eukaryotic small subunit ribosomal RNA", at positions 1299 to 1458 of the family's 1831-position model. The record is from RNAcentral.